RNAcentral lists this ribosomal RNA (551 nucleotides) under Acinetobacter baumannii OIFC189. RNAcentral describes it as "bacterial SSU rRNA". It matches the Rfam family "Bacterial small subunit ribosomal RNA", at positions 55 to 600 of the family's 1533-position model. The record is from RNAcentral. Lineage: Bacteria; Pseudomonadati; Pseudomonadota; Gammaproteobacteria; Moraxellales; Moraxellaceae.
AUGCAAGUCGAGCGGGGGAGGGUAGCUUGCUACUGGACCUAGCGGCGGACGGGUGAGUAAUGCUUAGGAAUCUGCCUAUUAGUGGGGGACAACAUCUCGAAAGGGAUGCUAAUACCGCAUACGUCCUACGGGAGAAAGCAGGGGAUCUUCGGACCUUGCGCUAAUAGAUGAGCCUAAGUCGGAUUAGCUAGUUGGUGGGGUAAAGGCCUACCAAGGCGACGAUCUGUAGCGGGUCUGAGAGGAUGAUCCGCCACACUGGGACUGAGACACGGCCCAGACUCCUACGGGAGGCAGCAGUGGGGAAUAUUGGACAAUGGGGGGAACCCUGAUCCAGCCAUGCCGCGUGUGUGAAGAAGGCCUUAUGGUUGUAAAGCACUUUAAGCGAGGAGGAGGCUACUUUAGUUAAUACCUAGAGAUAGUGGACGUUACUCGCAGAAUAAGCACCGGCUAACUCUGUGCCAGCAGCCGCGGUAGUACAGAGGGUGCGAGCGUUAAUCGGAUUUACUGGGCGUAAAGCGUGCGUAGGCGGCUUAUUAAGUCGGAUGUGAAAU